This 254-nucleotide ribosomal RNA is filed under the name uncultured bacterium. Its description in RNAcentral is "partial 16S ribosomal RNA". It matches the Rfam family "Bacterial small subunit ribosomal RNA", at positions 524 to 776 of the family's 1533-position model. The record is from RNAcentral.
UACGAAGGGGGCUAGCGUUGUUCGGAAUCACUGGGCGUAAAGCGCACGUAGGCGGACCGUUAAGUCGGAGGUGAAAGCCUGGGGCUCAACCCCAGAACUGCCUUCGAUACUGGCGGUCUUUGAGUAUGGUAGAGGUUGGUGGAACUCCGAGUGUAGAGGUGAAAUUCGUAGAUAUUCGGAAGAACACCAGUGGCGAAGGCGGCCAACUGGACCAUUACUGACGCUGAGGUGCGAAAGUGUGGGGAGCGAACAGG